GAUAAACGCUGGCGGCGUGCCUAACGCAUGCAAGUCGAACGGUCUCUCCCUUCGGGGGGAGGUAGUGGCAAACGGGUGAGUAACACGUGGGAAUGUGCCCUUGAGUGGGGAAUAACUCUCUGAAAGGAGAGCUAAUACCGCAUACGGUCGUAAGACUAAAGGAGAAAUCCGCUUAAGGAGCAGCCUGCGGCUGAUUAGCUAGUUGGUGGGGUAAAAGCCUACCAAGGCGAUGAUCAGUAGCUGGUCUGAGAGGAUGGACAGCCACACUGGGACUGAG
This 277-nucleotide ribosomal RNA is filed under the name uncultured bacterium. Its description in RNAcentral is "partial 16S ribosomal RNA". It matches the Rfam family "Bacterial small subunit ribosomal RNA", at positions 28 to 323 of the family's 1533-position model. The record is from RNAcentral.